GUGGGAUUAGUUCAGUUGGUUAGAGCGUCAGUUUGUGGCACUGGAGGUCAUCGGUUCGAAUCCGAUAUCCCACCCCA
Molecule: transfer RNA, 77 nt
Filed under: Eubacterium sp.
Lineage: Bacteria; Bacillati; Bacillota; Clostridia; Eubacteriales; Eubacteriaceae
Description: tRNA-His
Rfam family: tRNA
About the family: Transfer RNA (tRNA) molecules are approximately 80 nucleotides in length. Their secondary structure includes four short double-helical elements and three loops (D, anti-codon, and T loops). Further hydrogen bonds mediate the characteristic L-shaped molecular structure. tRNAs have two regions of fundamental functional importance: the anti-codon, which is responsible for specific mRNA codon recognition, and the 3' end, to which the tRNAs corresponding amino acid is attached (by aminoacyl-tRNA synthetases). tRNAs cope with the degeneracy of the genetic code in two manners: having more than one tRNA (with a specific anti-codon) for a particular amino acid; and 'wobble' base-pairing, i.e. permitting non-standard base-pairing at the 3rd anti-codon position.
Source: RNAcentral